Molecule: non-coding RNA, 90 nt
Organism: Mycena metata
Lineage: Eukaryota; Fungi; Basidiomycota; Agaricomycetes; Agaricales; Mycenaceae
Source: the annotation of a GenBank genome assembly
GCCUCUAUAGAUUAAUGUUCAAUCACCUCCGCUGCGUGGCGCAUGACGGAUAAUUCGGAGGAGACGUAGGUUCGAGUCCUACUGGAGGCG